AGUGAACGCUGGCGGCGUGCCUAAUACAUGCGAGUCGAGCGAACAGAUAAGGAGCUUGCUCCUUUGACGUUAGCGGCGGACGGGUGAGUAACACGUGGGUAACCUACCUAUAAGACUGGAAUAACUCCGGGAAACCGGGGCUAAUGCCGGAUAACAUAUAGAACCGCAUGGUUCUAUAGUGAAAGAUGGUUUUGCUAUCACUUAUAGAUGGACCCGCGCCGUAUUAGCUAGUUGGUAAGGUAAUGGCUUACCAAGGCGACGAUGCGUAGCCGACCUGAGAGGGUGAUAGGCCACACUGGGACUGAGACACGGUCCAGACUCCUACGGGAGGCAGCAGUAGGGAAUCUUCCGCAAUGGGCGAAAGCCUGACGGAGCAACGCCGCGUGAGUGAUGAAGGGUUUCGGCUCGUAAAACUCUGUUAUUAGGGAAGAACAUAUGUGUAAGUAACUGUGCACAUCUUGACGGUACCUAAUCAGAAAGCCACGACUAACUACGUGCCAGCAGCCGCCGCGGUAA
This 516-nucleotide ribosomal RNA is filed under the name uncultured bacterium. RNAcentral's name for it is "partial 16S ribosomal RNA". It matches the Rfam family "Bacterial small subunit ribosomal RNA", at positions 29 to 523 of the family's 1533-position model. The record is from RNAcentral.